This is a long non-coding RNA of Dicentrarchus labrax (European seabass), 1197 nucleotides long. RefSeq lists it as uncharacterized. NCBI's taxonomy places the organism in Eukaryota, Metazoa, Chordata, Actinopteri, Moronidae. The transcript is spliced from 2 exons. The record is from RefSeq and is a predicted model, not a curated record.
GCUACUUCUUGCUUCUGGUGUGAUUUGGUUUAUGAAUACAAUCAAGCUUCUUCAACAUGGCGGGGAGGUGGUCGUCAAGCAUCACAUCUUAUAAAAGGGCAAGUGCUUGCCAGUGAGACGUCCAUCAAGGCUGGGCCAGCGUGGGGCCAUAAUCCCUGGAAGUGCCCCUAUGGUUCUUGCCCUACCUCCCUUAUCCCCUCCAUCCUUCCCUCUACACCUCCCUUCCCUCCAUGCUGUUGUUUUCCUCUUCUCCUCCCCAGGCAGGGGGUGUUUGGACCACGCAGCGUGACCUGGCUGCCAGGGGAGGGAUCCAGGGAGGGGCUCCGGGGCCACAGGUGAGGCCUGAGCUCAAUCUACCCCCCUCCAUCCUGCCUCUCCCUCCACCUCCCCUGGGUGCCAACUUCACCAACCCUCCUCUUCCCCGUGCCCAGCAGGCCAAUCAAGCCAUAUCUGUGUGCCAUGCAACCUGGGGACCAUGGGGAUGGAGGAUGGGAGGAGGGUAAUAGCGGAACAGGCAGGCCGAGGCCCCAUGUGGACCUCCCUGUCCCUCUGAAACCCUCCCAGGAUCUGUGUCGCCAUCACCACCACGUUUAAUUACCUUGCUCAUCUUCAUUAAUUCAUGGGGCUCCUUUAUGCCCUGCAGGCUGGAUGGAUAGAGAGGGAGGAAGGGAGGAAGAGAGGGAUGGAGACAGAGGUGGAGGGAGAGACGCCACUCCACUCAACAACAACAACAGUGGCAGCAGAAUGCAACAAAAACAACAAACCCAGCAGCUGGAGCUCAGUGCCAGGAGCAACAGCUUGGUGACCCUGGCAUCCCUCAGGGUACUUGUUUAGGACCUCCAGUGCAGAAGGCUUUUUGCCAGUUAAGGGGCCUUAGGGCUUCAGGGUCAGUCUGGCCACACCAGGCCCUCUCAGCCCCAGAGACAGUGGAAAACAAAUCCCCACUGUCUGGCCAGAAAGCACCUCUGAGAUCGAACUCUAAACAGGCUCUAUUGAUUUGAGGCACCAAGGGCUGUUCCCUGGACAAAGUGACCAUAAUGACAUUAGAGAUUAGAUGCUCAGAUGUUGCUCACAAGAGACUGGGAUUAGAGCAAUAGGUAAUAAAUGCCUAUUUAGUGGACCAAAGGUUCAUUUGUGUGUGUGUGUGCCUGUGUGUAUGUGUGGCUCAAAUAAAAAUCUCCAGUGAAAAAAUCUAAA